RNAcentral lists this non-coding RNA (45 nucleotides) under Schistosoma margrebowiei. The record is from RNAcentral. Lineage: Eukaryota; Metazoa; Platyhelminthes; Trematoda; Strigeidida; Schistosomatidae.
AUGCAGUUGACGAGCCUCAAAUAGGACGAAACGAGUGUCCUGGAU